UAAAAAAGUAUAGCGCCAGGACUGUAUCGAUUUAGAUAUAGUUGACGAGGUUCAGGCUUAUCGAAAAAUUCGGCGGGUGGCCUGAAGGUUGAUACGACCUUAAAUAAGGACAAAACCAACUUGUGAGAGUUGAACAAAUUCCUUAGAGUAUCCUCCA
Molecule: non-coding RNA, 157 nt
Organism: Firmicutes bacterium CAG:536
Lineage: Bacteria; Bacillati; Bacillota
Source: Rfam